RNAcentral lists this ribosomal RNA (253 nucleotides) under uncultured bacterium. RNAcentral's name for it is "partial 16S ribosomal RNA". It matches the Rfam family "Bacterial small subunit ribosomal RNA", at positions 524 to 776 of the family's 1533-position model. The record is from RNAcentral.
UACGUAGGGGGCAAGCGUUGUCCGGAAUCAUUGGGCGUAAAGAGCGUGUAGGCGGCCACUUAAGUCCGGCGUGAAAUCUUGCGGCUCAACCGCAAGCGGUCGUGGGAAACUGGGUGGCUAGAGUGCGGGAGAGGAGAGUGGAAUUCAUGGUGUAGCAGUGAAAUGCGUAGAGAUCAUGAGGAAGACCAGUGGCGAAGGCGGGUCUCUGGACAGUUCCUGACACUGAGGCACGAAGGCCAGGGGAGCAAACGGG